UUCUCUCUUCUUGUGAUCGGUAGCAUCGAGCCCAAGUCUAAUUUCAAUAAGACAAAUACUGCUUGUUGGAAAUCGAUCAAUAUGUUUAUUAUGUCCUUUUAAUAUAUUAUAAAUUAUAAAUUAUAAAUUAUAGAUUAAAGUGAAAUAAGAGUUUCAUUUUUUAUAAAAUUAUGUAAAACAAUUUUACUAAAAAUAAAAAUGAUAUAAAAUUGGAGGACCGCUUAAAAUAACAAAAAAUAGAAAUUCUCCUAUUAGAUUGCAUGUAUAUGUGAGACGGGUCGGAUCGGGUCAGGUCAGGAUCGGGGAGCAGGUCUGGGCUCGGGUUGCGGGUUUGGGCCAGAUAAUUCAAAGUAAUUAUUAUUGUGGUAAAAAUUAGUAAUAAUCCACAUGAAGAAAAACAUUAUACUGUAUCGAUAAUUAUUUUUUUCUUAUAAUAAUAAUUAUUUUUAUAACCCGAAAAAAAUUUGUUCUACAAUUGCAAGCCCAGAAAAAUUUGUCCUACAUUUGCAAAACGCUCAAAGUUACGGGCCUAAAAAACUUUGGGCUCUCAAAUUUAAUUUAGUUCAUCAUAUUUUAUUUUCUUCUACAAUACAUUAUGUUCCCUU
This 605-nucleotide long non-coding RNA is filed under the name Salvia miltiorrhiza (redroot sage). RNAcentral describes it as "long non-coding RNA (SMIL_LNC013634)". The record is from RNAcentral. Lineage: Eukaryota; Viridiplantae; Streptophyta; Magnoliopsida; Lamiales; Lamiaceae.